ACGGGAGGCAGCAGUGGGGGAUAUUGCACAAUGGGGGAGACCCUGAUGCAGCGACGCCGCGUGAGUGAUGAAGUAUUUCGGUAUGUAAAGCUCUAUCAGCAGGGAAGAUAAUGACGGUACCUGACUAAGAAGCACCGGCUAAAUACGUGCCAGCAGCCGCGGUAAUACGUACGGUGCAAGCGUUAUCCGGAUUUACUGGGUGUAAAGGGAGCGUAGACGGCAAGGCAAGCCAGAUGUGAAAGGCUGGGGCUCAACCCCGGGACUGCAUUUGGAACUGUCUAGCUAGAGUAUCGGAGAGGUAAGUGGAAUUCCUAGUGUAGCGGUGAAAUGCGUAGAUAUUAGGAGGAACACCAGUGGCGAAGGCGGCUUACUGGACGAUAACUGACGUUGAGGCUCGAAAGCGUGGGGAGCAAACAGGAUUAGAUACCCUGGUA
This 434-nucleotide ribosomal RNA is filed under the name uncultured bacterium. RNAcentral describes it as "partial 16S ribosomal RNA". It matches the Rfam family "Bacterial small subunit ribosomal RNA", at positions 341 to 792 of the family's 1533-position model. The record is from RNAcentral.